CUACGGGUCGCUCCAGUAAGGAAUAUUGCGCAAUGGAGGCAACUCUGACGCAGCCAUGCCGCGUGCAGGAAGAAGGCCUUAUGGGUCGUAAACUGCUUUUAUUUAGGAAUAAACCCCCGAACGUGUUCGGGGCUGAAGGUACUAAACGAAUAAGCACCGGCUAACUCCGUGCCAGCAGCCGCGGUAAUACGGAGGGUGCAAGCGUUAUCCGGAUUUAUUGGGUUUAAAGGGUGCGCAGGCGGGCUAUUAAGUCAGUGGUGAAAUCCCGGGGCUCAACUCCGGAACUGCCAUUGAUACUGAUAGUCUUGAGUUUGGUUGAAGUGGGCGGAAUGUAGCAUGUAGCGGUGAAAUGCAUAGAUAUGCUACAGAACACCAAUCGCGAAGGCAGCUCACUAAGCCAAAACUGACGCUCAUGCACGAAAGCGUGGGGAUCAAACAGGAUUAGAUACCCGUGUAGUC
Molecule: ribosomal RNA, 459 nt
Filed under: uncultured bacterium
Lineage: Bacteria
Description: partial 16S ribosomal RNA
Rfam family: Bacterial small subunit ribosomal RNA
Source: RNAcentral